This 708-nucleotide long non-coding RNA is filed under the name Malus domestica (apple). RNAcentral describes it as "long non-coding RNA (MDOM_LNC001083)". The record is from RNAcentral. Lineage: Eukaryota; Viridiplantae; Streptophyta; Magnoliopsida; Rosales; Rosaceae.
AAAUAAUUAAUGAUAUUAUUAAUACAAAUGACCUUGAUAAAAAAUUGAAAAGUAAUAAGGUUUUAAUCAAUAGAGUAGUAAAAAUAAGGAUGAAAACCUAAUUACUCCAUUUUUUUACUAUUUUUAUUUGAUUAGAAUCUCUAAAAGAUUUUCGAUAAGGUUUUGAUCUUUUGAUAACAAGGAAGUUUUAACUUCGGUAUGUGUGUGAUUAUAUAUAUUUACCUUUAUUUUUGUAUACUUUAUUGCAGAUAUGUAAAAGUAAAACUAAACGAGUUUUUCUUGAUUUGUCAUGUAUUGAUUAUUUGAAAUAUAUAGCGAAUCAUGCAUGAUGCUUAAAUUUAAAGAAAAUUAACGAAAAUGAUUUGAAAAUUUUAGCUUUUAACCAAAAUGACAAAAUAAAUAUAUAAAUAAAUAGUACCAUGAGCGACUUUUUAGGCUAAAAAUAUCUUUAACAUUAAAAGUGAAAAGUACCAAGAAUAUUUCAUUAAAACUCUCUUAAAUCUAACAAUGUAAGAUUUCAAGUGGUGGCUAGAUUGCUAUAUGGACAUAUAUGAUGUUCGUCGCACCGCACCUCAUAUUCAAACUCUCUCACCUUUUUAAGUUUGGUUUGGAAUAGUAUCGCUAUUUGUGAUAAAUAAAAUAAAAAUUAAUAAAAGAAAUUAGAGGAAAAUGGAAAUUAAUUAUCUUAAAACACUUAACAGUUAUUUU